UACGGAGGAUCCAAGCGUUAUCCGGAUUUAUUGGGUUUAAAGGGUGCGUAGGUGGGAUGAUAAGUCAGAGGUGAAAGCUAGCAGCUUAACUGUUAAAUUGCCUUUGAUACUGUUAUUCUUGAGUAUAGUUGGAGUUGGCGGAAUGUGACAUGUAGCGGUGAAAUGCGUAGAUAUGUCACAGAACACCGAUCGCGAAGGCAGCUAACUAAACUAUCACUGACACUGAUGCACGAAAGCGUGGGGAGCAAACAGGAUUAGAUACCCUGGUAGUCCACGCCGUAAACGAUGAUAACUCGACGUUGGCAAUAUACCGUUCAGCGUCCAAGCGAAAGCGUUAAGUUAUCCACCUGGGGAGUACGAUCGCAAGGUUGAA
RNAcentral lists this ribosomal RNA (373 nucleotides) under uncultured bacterium. Its description in RNAcentral is "bacterial SSU rRNA". It matches the Rfam family "Bacterial small subunit ribosomal RNA", at positions 524 to 898 of the family's 1533-position model. The record is from RNAcentral.